GAGUUUGAUCCUGGCUCAGAACGAACGCUGGCGGCAGGCCUAACACAUGCAAGUCGAGCGCGCCCUUCGGGGUGAGCGGCGGACGGGUGAGUAACGCGUGGGAACGUGCCCUUCUCUACGGAAUAGUCUCGGGAAACUGGGGGUAAUACCGUAUACGCUCUUCGGAGGAAAGAUUUAUCGGAGAAGGAUCGGCCCGCGUUGGAUUAGGUAGUUGGUGAGGUAACGGCUCACCAAGCCGACGAUCCAUAGCUGGUUUGAGAGGAUGAUCAGCCACACUGGGACUGAGACACGGCCCAGACUCCUACGGGAGGCAGCAGUGGGGAAUCUUAGACAAUGGGGGAAACCCUGAUCUAGCCAUGCCGCGUGAGCGAUGAAGGCCUUAGGGUUGUAAAGCUCUUUCAGCUGGGAAGAUAAUGACGGUACCAGCAGAAGAAGCCCCGGCUAACUCCGUGCCAGCAGCCGCGGUCA
This 468-nucleotide ribosomal RNA is filed under the name uncultured Alphaproteobacteria bacterium. RNAcentral describes it as "bacterial SSU rRNA". It matches the Rfam family "Bacterial small subunit ribosomal RNA", at positions 9 to 523 of the family's 1533-position model. The record is from RNAcentral. Lineage: Bacteria; Pseudomonadati; Pseudomonadota; Alphaproteobacteria.